AGGUGGUUAGCUCAGCGGUAGAGCGUCUGCCUUACAAGCAGAGGGUCGCUGGUUCAAAUCCAGUACUACCUA
Molecule: transfer RNA, 72 nt
Filed under: Neotessella volvocina
Lineage: Eukaryota; Synurophyceae; Synurales; Neotessellaceae
Description: tRNA-Val
Rfam family: tRNA
About the family: Transfer RNA (tRNA) molecules are approximately 80 nucleotides in length. Their secondary structure includes four short double-helical elements and three loops (D, anti-codon, and T loops). Further hydrogen bonds mediate the characteristic L-shaped molecular structure. tRNAs have two regions of fundamental functional importance: the anti-codon, which is responsible for specific mRNA codon recognition, and the 3' end, to which the tRNAs corresponding amino acid is attached (by aminoacyl-tRNA synthetases). tRNAs cope with the degeneracy of the genetic code in two manners: having more than one tRNA (with a specific anti-codon) for a particular amino acid; and 'wobble' base-pairing, i.e. permitting non-standard base-pairing at the 3rd anti-codon position.
Source: RNAcentral